This 497-nucleotide ribosomal RNA is filed under the name uncultured bacterium. RNAcentral's name for it is "partial 16S ribosomal RNA". It matches the Rfam family "Bacterial small subunit ribosomal RNA", at positions 28 to 507 of the family's 1533-position model. The record is from RNAcentral.
GAUGAACGCUGGCGGCGUGCCUAAUACAUGCAAGUCGAGCGAACAGAUGAGGAGCUUGCUCCUCUGACGUUAGCGGCGGACGGGUGAGUAACACGUGGAUAACCUACCUAUAAGACUGGGAUAACUUCGGGAAACCGGAGCUAAUACCGGAUAAUAUAUUGAACCGCAUGGUUCAAUAGUGAAAGACGGUUUUGCUGUCACUUAUAGAUGGAUCCGCGCCGCAUUAGCUAGUUGGUAAGGUAACGGCUUACCAAGGCAACGAUGCGUAGCCGACCUGAGAGGGUGAUCGGCCACACUGGAACUUCGACCCGGUCCAGACUCCUACGGGAGGCAGCAGUAGGGAAUCUUCCGCAAUGGGCGAAAGCCUGACGGAGCAACGCCGCGUGAGUGAUGAAGGUCUUCGGAUCGUAAAACUCUGUUAUUAGGGAAGAACAAAUGUGUAAGUAACUAUGCACGUCUUGACGGUACCUAAUCAGAAAGCCACGGCUAACUACGUG